AUCUCAUAUUAGUUUCCCUUUUAUGUUGCAUUACUGAAGUAAAUGAACUUUUGCAUGAUAUUCUAAUUUUGAGUAUCACCUGUAUAUCUGUAUGUGCAGCAUUUUGUACAGAAAUGCUGCACACUCACAUUCCAAGCACCACAACUACUUCAAAGCACUGAAAUGAGCAUGGUGAUUGGAGUAACCCCAUGGGUGUAGGAACCCCCAAAAAUCUGGGGGGGGAAAUAGCAUUUUUACUCGCCGGAUAUAUUCUUAUUCCGUAAACUAGGAGUGGUUUAUCCCAUUGUACAGCGCUAUGGAAUUUGCAGUUGCUAUAUAAAUGAUUAAAUAAACAUUAAAGGGUCACUACAGGGAAGGGAUUUUACUUACCCGGAUACAUCGCCUGGAUCCUCCUGAUGCCGCGCCCCCUCUUGUCAAAAUGACGACAUAGGAGGGUGCGAGCAGGGAGCAAUAAAAUGCUUCUAUUCAGAAGAGUCAUUGCUCUCUGGUGCGCAUGCGCAGCUUUGCCGCACAUGCACAGAUACUUCAUAGGGCGGCAUUCAUGUCUCGACUAGGAAGCACCUCUAGUGGCCAUCUGAGUGUCCACUAGAGGUAUUCCUCAGCAGUAAUGUAAAUACUGUCUUUAUACGAUAUGGCAAUGCUUACAUUAAAAAGCCUGCGAAGACAUGCUAUAGACACCAGAACUACUACGUUUAGCUGUUGUGGUUCUGGUGACUAUAGUGUCCCUUGAAUAUAGAG
This is a non-coding RNA of Pelobates cultripes (western spadefoot toad), 738 nucleotides long. The record is from the annotation of a GenBank genome assembly. Lineage: Eukaryota; Metazoa; Chordata; Amphibia; Anura; Pelobatidae.